This 468-nucleotide ribosomal RNA is filed under the name uncultured bacterium. RNAcentral describes it as "partial 16S ribosomal RNA". It matches the Rfam family "Bacterial small subunit ribosomal RNA", at positions 28 to 507 of the family's 1533-position model. The record is from RNAcentral.
GACGAACGCUGGCGGCGUGCUUAACACAUGCAAGUCGAACGGCAAGGCCCUGCUUUUGUGGGGUGCUCGAGUGGCGAACGGGUGAGUAACACGUGAGUAACCUGCCCUUGACUUUGGGAUAACUUCAGGAAACUGGGGCUAAUACCGGAUAGGAGCUCCUGCUGCAUGGAGGGGGUUGGAAAGUUUCGGCGGUUGGGGAUGGACUCGCGGCUUAUCAGCUUGUUGGUGGGGUAGUGGCUGACCAAGGCUUUGACGGGUAGCCGGCCUGAGAGGGUGACCGGCCACAUUGGUACUGAGAUACGGCCCAGACGGCUACGGGAGGCAGAAGUGGGGAGUAUUGCACAGUGGGCGCACGCCUGAUGCAGCAACGCCGCGUGCGUGAUGACGGUCUUCGGGUUGUAAACCGCUGUCGCCUGUGACGAAGCGUGAGUGACGGUAAUGGGUAAAGAAGCACCGGCUAACUACGUG